RNAcentral lists this long non-coding RNA (466 nucleotides) under Physcomitrium patens. Its description in RNAcentral is "long non-coding RNA (PPAT_LNC004744)". The record is from RNAcentral. Lineage: Eukaryota; Viridiplantae; Streptophyta; Bryopsida; Funariales; Funariaceae.
GAAGUCAAGUGAGGGUUUCUUAGAUUUCUUGCAAUCUAUUAGUUGGAUUGAAAUGAAAAUUAUGUGUAUAGGUAGUAGACUUAUUUUUCUAUUUAUUUAAAAAAUUUGAGAUCAAUUAAAUAGUUCAAUAAGUAGAUAUAGGUGCUAGAAAUUUAACAUUUGGAUUGGAGAAAGAGGCCAGCCAACAUCUGAGCAAAUAUUAGGAUCGAUCUUCUUUUUGGUGAAUUUGAUCUUCAAAAAUUUUGUACUUUUUGUUAACUUAAUUGUUAAGAGGUGUGUAAAUUUUGAAUUAAAAUCAAUAGUUUAUUCAUUAGUUAUUGAGGUUUAAAUUUGCUAUAAGAAUUACUUGGAAUUAUUUAGGAUUUGGUUAGGAUUUGGUUAAGAUUUGAUUAGGUUUAUUUAAGAUUUGAUUAGGAUUUUUUUAAGAUUUGAUUAGAAUUUGGUUAAGAUUUAUUUAGGAUUUUUU